Long non-coding RNA from Amblyraja radiata (thorny skate), 134 nucleotides. RefSeq lists it as uncharacterized. The transcript has 3 exons. Lineage: Eukaryota; Metazoa; Chordata; Chondrichthyes; Rajiformes; Rajidae. The record is from RefSeq and is a predicted model, not a curated record.
CGUUUUACAAUGGGCUCACGUUACGGACGGUGAACUCAUCGCGAUCGGCCUUCGCCUCAAUCCACUUCUCCCCUCUCUUCUUCCAGACGUUCGAGAGAGGGGAUGGAGAGGUACAGGGGCCUUGUAAAGUGGUG